Molecule: ribosomal RNA, 406 nt
Filed under: uncultured bacterium
Lineage: Bacteria
Description: partial 16S ribosomal RNA
Rfam family: Bacterial small subunit ribosomal RNA
Source: RNAcentral
AUUGAACGCUGGCGGCAGGCCUAACACAUGCAAGUCGAGCGAACGGCGGACGGGUGAGUACUGUCUGGGAAACUGCCUGAUGGAGGGGGAUAACUACUGGAAACGGUAGCUAAUACCGCAUACCAUCAGAUGUGCCCAGAUGGAAUUAGCUAGUAGGUGGGGUAACGGCUCACCUAGGCGACGAUCCCUAGCUGGUCUGAGAGGAUGACCAGCAACAUUGGAACGGAGACACGGGCCAGACUCCUACGGGAGGCAGCAGUGGGGAAUAUUGCACAAUGGGCGCAAGCCUGAUGCAGCCAUGCCGCGUGUAUGAAGAAGGCCUUCGGGUGGUAAAGCACUUUCAGCGGGGAGGCGUUAACCGAAGAAGAAGCACCGGCUAACUCCGUGCCAGCAGCCGCGGUAAUUC